UGCCAGCAGCCGCGGUAAUACGUAGGGUGCAAGCGUUAUCCGGAAUUAUUGGGCGUAAAGAGCUCGUAGGCGGUUUGUCGCGUCUGCUGUGAAAACUGGGGGCUCAACCCCCAGCCUGCAGUGGGUACGGGCAGACUAGAAUGCGGUAGGGGAGAUUGGAAUUCCUGGUGUAGCGGUGGAAUGCGCAGAUAUCAGGAGGAACACCGAUGGCGAAGGCAGAUCUCUGGGCCGUAACUGACGCUGAGGAGCGAAAGGGUGGGGAGCAAACAGGCUUAGAUACCCUGGUAGUCCACCCCGUAAACGUUGGGAACUAGUUGUGGGGUCCAUUCCACGGAUUCCGUGACGCAGCUAACGCAUUAAGUUCCCCGCCUGGGGAGUACGGCCGCAAGGCUAAAACUCAAAGGAAUUGACGGGGACCCGCACAAGCGGCGGAGCAUGCGGAUUAAUUCGAUGCAACGCGAAGAACCUUACCAAGGCUUGACAUAUACGAGAACGCUGCAGAAAUGUAGAACUCUUUGGACACUCGUAAACAGGUGGUGCAUGGUUGUCGUCAGCUCGUGUCGUGAGAUGUUGGGUUAAGUCCCGCAACGAGCGCAACCCUCGUUCUAUGUUGCCAGCACGUAACGGUGGGAACUCAUGGGAUACUGCCGGGGUCAACUCGGAGGAAGGUGGGGAUGACGUCAAUCAUCAUGCCCCUUAUGUCUUGGCUUCACGCAUGCUACAUGACGGUACAAAGGGCUGCAUACCGUAAGGUGGAGCGAUCCCAAAAGCGGUCCCAGUCGAUGAGUCUGCACUCGACUCAUGAGUCGGAGUCGCUAGUAUCGCGAUCAGCACGCUGCGGUGAAUACGUCGGACUUGCACUCACCCGCCGUCAGGGCGAUUCUGUUAACUUGCAGG
Molecule: ribosomal RNA, 897 nt
Filed under: uncultured bacterium
Lineage: Bacteria
Description: bacterial SSU rRNA
Rfam family: Bacterial small subunit ribosomal RNA
Source: RNAcentral